Bradysia coprophila is the source of this 220-nucleotide long non-coding RNA. The record is from RefSeq and is a predicted model, not a curated record. NCBI's taxonomy places the organism in Eukaryota, Metazoa, Arthropoda, Insecta, Diptera, Sciaridae.
UUGUGCUGCAAGCCUACCGAAGUCUUGUAAAAAAAGUUGGUGCCAAAAUACAGAUUUUUUCCUUCUUUCUGUGGGCCCAACUGCUGGAACAGCGUCUGGAACGCUUCUACGGGAGUAAUUUCAUAUCAUCUACUAUUCUGUUACCUUAUACGCUUCGCUAUGUCGCGAACAUAUAUCAGACCGUGCGUAUACUCUACCUGUAGGUCUUUCCAAGGCCGAC